UCUGCUCCUGGGGACCUGGGCAGACCCUGGGCUCUUUGCAGAGGGGGCAGGGAAGGGUGAUAGCCCCGCUUGGCAGUCACCUGGGAGGGCAGCAUUUCAUGGAAUGAAAACACAGACAAUGCUGCUCAGGUAAUGAGGCUGAGCGUGGAGUUCUAGAAAAGGGAAAACAAAAAGCAAACUUCUGUAGCAUGAGUAGGUUCAUAUUUCAGGCAUUUGGGGCUGUAAGUAAGACAUAUUGCAAUCCCACGAUCCAAAACUAAAUGUGCUUUCAGAACUAUCCCAGACAAAUUUGCCACUUAGAAAAACUUCUGCCAGCAGCAAACAUCCAUUCGUCUGGGAGCCUGUCAGAAGUGACUCCCAAUCUCUCAGCGCUCCCCUUGCUCCAUCAAUGUUCAGCAGAUAAUGAAGUAAGCUGCAUCAGAUUGAUGCCCUGUGCUGAGAAACAAUUUCCCCCUUUUCUUCAAAAGCUGAAUGAGGACUUGAUGCCACAAAUCUCACUUUCCCCUCUGCUUUAUGAAUUGUCUGCAGAGCUCGUGCAAUUUUUUAAUUUUUUUUUUUUUAUAUAUAUUAUUUGGGAAUUUCUUCAGUGAAUAACACUUGGCUCGCAGAUCUUUUGGGAAUGGUAAAUGUUUGCAAAUUCAUGCUGUGUUGCCUAGUUCAGUCAUGUGGCGUUCCCUGAUUAGAUGAUUUGUGUAACUAACUCACACAAAGCGAAUAGCAAAUUCCACCACCGAGUGUACAGUUUCACACUGGAUUGCCAUCGCUAUCUGAGCAGCCAGGUUUAAAAUUCCUGCCUUGCGAGCAGCCACACGAGCAACACAUCAGCACUGAAGUGCUCCCACCAGGCAGAUGUGAGAGCCGGGUUAAACAGCUUUCAGAUUCAUAUACAUAUUAAUGGCAAACGUCUGAAUUCUUGCAGCUCUGUUAGGACGUACAGUCAGCACCAUCCAUCGCGCACGGCAUGGGCCCGUCUCUCGCAGUGCUUGCCAUGCCCCCCAGCCUCCCUAGCUCGUGCACAUCAAUCCACGACGCCUGCGGAAACUGUUUGUGCAGCCAAAACAACAGGAAAAAAAGACAGCGUGGAAAUUUCUGAAUUUUCCAUGGUAGCUUCUCCUGUUGUGGGUCUUGCACGUAGCAAGACAUGAGGAGAGCCAUCAGGGAGGACAGCAGGAGAGCACCGGUGGCGGUGCAGUGGCUGCAGGAGAAAAGCACAGAAAGAAGGAAAACCAAGGUGGCCCCCGACAAAGGGGGAUCAGCUGCCCACGGGCACGAACAUUACCAGACGGGGACUAACGCAGCACAAACAAAUAAAUAUGCCCAAACAAUUUUUAGCAUGAAUCUGGUGAAUUGGGGUCAUUAUCCUCAAAGUUUAUGGCCUCAGCAGACCCAGUCGAGGGCAGGACCUGGAGCUGUCACUGGCCUCCAGGCACCAUGCGGGUGCUCGCUGUGGGUACUGGGGUGACGCGGUUUAGCCUUUGUCACGCCGGGGGCUGAUGGCAUGCCAGGGAGGUACGGGGGAGCUCCUGCUGAUCCAGGACAAGCUGAGGGUUGUGGGGACCACAUCGCUGCCCUGUCCUCACACAGCAGCUGCCACAAGUCGUGAGCAUCUUCGGGGCUCCUCCAGCCCCAGCAAGGAGGCUGUGGGACCAGCACCCAGGGAGGCAAGGCGAGCGUUUGGGUGCCUGGAGGAGGAGGAGCUGGGGGGAAGCAGAAGCACCUGGGCAGGGUGGCUGGGAAGUUCAGCAAGAGGUGGUUGCAGCCAGCUAAGGCAGAACAGGACUCAGAGGAAGAGCCAGAGGGGCGAUCAGACCAGCUGUAGCAGAUCAAGCACUGUAGGGUCAGUCAGUCAUAACUCCAUUAGUUCUGGGGUCGAGGCUUUGUGCACUGCCAAAGAUAAAAGAAGGUCCAGGCUUGCAUAACCAUCCUUAACCACAAACUCCAAGGCCACAGCUGCAGUAAAUCAGGGAUGCUCCAAGGACACCUGAGAGAGGCUGGGCUCUGUGGGCAGACCUGGCCCAGGGACACCAGAUUUUUCUUCAGCACUUGCCCAUUCCCAAACCAUCCGUCACCUUGCAAAUUAACCCGGGCUGACACUCAGCUAGGCGCAUCUGGAGCUGCAGUGAACCCUUCCUGCAGGUUCCCAGCUCAGAUAUUUAUUUCAGUGGUUCUUGCUUUCAUAUCUUUCCCAUUUUUACUACUUCCAUUAGUCUUUUGGACUUGAAAUGACCAGUUUGCCUUCACAUUAUUUCCAUCGCUGCUCUGCCCGUACCCAAUACGUGUGUCAGCGGCUGCAAAAUUCCACAAAGCUUAGCUAAAUCCAUGUUGUCCUGUAAAUAAUGGCAGCACGUC
Oxyura jamaicensis (ruddy duck) is the source of this 2349-nucleotide long non-coding RNA. RefSeq lists it as uncharacterized. The transcript is spliced from 3 exons. The record is from RefSeq and is a predicted model, not a curated record. NCBI's taxonomy places the organism in Eukaryota, Metazoa, Chordata, Aves, Anseriformes, Anatidae.